This 984-nucleotide ribosomal RNA is filed under the name human gut metagenome. Its description in RNAcentral is "bacterial LSU rRNA". It matches the Rfam family "Bacterial large subunit ribosomal RNA", at positions 1945 to 2925 of the family's 2925-position model. The record is from RNAcentral.
ACGGUCCUAAGGUAGCGAAAUUCCUUGUCAGGUAAGUUCUGACCCGCACGAAAGGUGUAACGAUCUGGGCACUGUCUCAACAACCCGCCCGGCGAAAUUGUAGUACCGGUGAAGAUGCCGGUUACCCGCGACUAGACGGAAAGACCCCAUGGAGCUUUACUGUAGCCUAAUAUUGGAUUUCGGUAUUUCACGUACAGGAUAGGUGGGAGACUGGGAAGCACAGGCGUCAGCUUGUGUGGAGUCGACCUUGGGAUACCACUCUUGGAGUGCUGGAAUUCUAACCUGCGGCUUUGAAGCAAGUCGGGGGACAUUGUUAGGUGGGCAGUUUGACUGGGGCGGUCGCCUCCUAAAGAGUAACGGAGGCGUUCAAAGGUUCGCUCAGCUUGAACGGAAAUCAAGCAAAAGAGUGCAAACGCAGAAGCGAGCCUAACUGCGAGACUGACGGGUCGAGCAGUAACGAAAGUUGGAGUUAGUGAUCCGGCGGUAUGUGAAUGGAAAUGCCGUCGCUCAACGGAUAAAAGCUACCCUGGGGAUAACAGGCUGAUCUCCCCCAAGAGUCCACAUCGACGGGGAGGUUUGGCACCUCGAUGUCGGCUCAUCGCAUCCUGGGGCUGUAUUCGGUCCCAAGGGUUUGGCUGUUCGCCAAUUAAAGCGGUACGCGAGCUGGGUUCAGAACGUCGUGAGACAGUUCGGUCCCUAUCUGUCGUGGGCGUAGGAUAUUUGCAAGGAGCUGUCCCUAGUACGAGAGGACCGGGAUGGACGCACCUCUGGUGCACCAGUUGUCACGCCAGUGGCACAGCUGGGCAGCUAUGUGCGGAACGGAUAAACGCUGAAGGCAUCUAAGCGUGAAGCCGCCCUUAAGAUAAGAUAUCCCUUCUGUUUACAGAGUAAGACCCCUUGAAGACUACAAGGUUGAUAGGCUCAAAGUGUAAGCACGGUGACGUGUUUAGCUAGCGAGUACUAAUCGGUCGAGUGCUUAACCUU